UCUAAAAUAAGAAAAGAAAGUAAAAAGAGGUGUCUAGCAUAGUAAAGUAUCAAACUUUAUUAAUAAGGUUUAGAUGGAAUCGAGGUCUCUUUUAGACAUACUUGUGAUAUAUCUCUAUGGACGUAAUUUCAUGUCCUUAAAAGCAUAAAGCACAGGUGAUACAUAACCAACCUUUCGAUCUUUUCCAAAUUUAUAUAGGAAAAUAAGAGAAUUCUAAGUGGGUGGGUCUUAAAGGCUCUUCACUCACCAACUUUAAUCAUAUUAUCUCAUUGAUAUCCUCUAGAUUUCACAUAUGCAACCAAACAAGUAAAGCUAGUUUGUGAUCCUUUUAUUCUCUUUAGGUGUACGAAAUUGAGGAAUCAAAAUGUUAAAACAGUUACUUUUGAAUAGAAAAUGGAAUUCAAAUCCUACUUUCUCAGUGUUGUGGGGUACGUACUACUCUUUCUAUCAACUGAAACUAACCACUACAACCGAAAAUAAAAGUGAAAACAUGGGGGUGCUUACUUUUCUACUUUCUUUUUGUUUCUCUCUUAGUAGUUUGAUUUUGUAUAGGCCGCCG
Molecule: unclassified non-coding RNA, 559 nt
Filed under: Hevea brasiliensis (rubber tree)
Lineage: Eukaryota; Viridiplantae; Streptophyta; Magnoliopsida; Malpighiales; Euphorbiaceae
Source: RNAcentral